UACGGAGGGGGCGAGCGUUAUUCGGAAUUAUUGGGCGUAAAGGGCGCGUAGGCGGCCUGAUAAGUCAAAGGUGAAAUCCCUCGGCUCAACUGAUGAAUUGCCUUUGAAACUGUCAGGCUUGAGGCCGGGAGGGGGUGGCGGAAUUCCCAGUGUAGCGGUGAAAUGCGUAGAUAUUGGGAGGAACACCAGUGGCGAAGGCGGCCACCUGGACCGGUUCUGACGCUGAUGCGCGAAAGCGUGGGGAGCAAACAGG
RNAcentral lists this ribosomal RNA (253 nucleotides) under uncultured bacterium. RNAcentral describes it as "partial 16S ribosomal RNA". It matches the Rfam family "Bacterial small subunit ribosomal RNA", at positions 524 to 776 of the family's 1533-position model. The record is from RNAcentral.